RNAcentral lists this small nuclear RNA (143 nucleotides) under Crocodylus porosus (Australian saltwater crocodile). RNAcentral describes it as "U1 spliceosomal RNA (ENSCPRG00005016643.1)". It matches the Rfam family "U1 spliceosomal RNA", at positions 21 to 166 of the family's 166-position model. Rfam says of the family: U1 is a small nuclear RNA (snRNA) component of the spliceosome (involved in pre-mRNA splicing). Lineage: Eukaryota; Metazoa; Chordata; Crocodylia; Crocodylidae. The record is from RNAcentral.
GAACUUUCCCCAAGGCAGUUUUCCCAGGGUGAGACCUGUUCAUUGCACUAUGGGCAGGCUGACCCCUGUGAGUUCCCCUGAAUGUGGGAAACUCGACUGCACAAUUUUGUGGCAAUGGGGAGCUGCAUUCACACUUCUCCCAC